RNAcentral lists this ribosomal RNA (253 nucleotides) under uncultured bacterium. Its description in RNAcentral is "partial 16S ribosomal RNA". It matches the Rfam family "Bacterial small subunit ribosomal RNA", at positions 524 to 776 of the family's 1533-position model. The record is from RNAcentral.
UACGGGGGGGGCAAGCGUUGUUCGGAAUUACUGGGCGUAAAGGGUUCGUAGGUGGCCAACUAAGUCAGACGUGAAAUCCCUCAGCUUAACUGGGGAACUGCGUCUGAUACUGGUUGGCUUGAGUGCAGGAGAGGAAUGCGGAAUUCCAGGUGUAGCGGUGAAAUGCGUAGAUAUCGGGAGGAACACCUGUGGCGAAAGCGGCGCACUGGACCACAACUGACGCUGAGGCGCGAAAGCUAGGGGAGCAAACAGG